CCUACGGGAGGCAGCAGUGGGGAAUAUUGGACAAUGGGCGCAAGCCUGAUCCAGCCAUGCCGCGUGAGUGAUGAAGGCCCUAGGGUUGUAAAGCUCUUUCACCGGUGAAGAUAAUGACGGUAACCGGAGAAGAAGCCCCGGCUAACUUCGUGCCAGCAGCCGCGGUAAUACGAAGGGGGCUAGCGUUGUUCGGAAUUACUGGGCGUAAAGCGCACGUAGGCGGAUUGUUAAGUGAGGGGUGAAAUCCCAGGGCUCAACCCUGGAACUGCCUUUCAUACUGGCAAUCUAGAGUCCAGAAGAGGUGAGUGGAAUUCCGAGUGUAGAGGUGAAAUUCGUAGAUAUUCGGAGGAACACCAGUGGCGAAGGCGGCUCACUGGUCUGGUACUGACGCUGAGGUGCGAAAGCGUGGGGAGCAAACAGGAUUAGAUACCCUAGUAGUC
This 440-nucleotide ribosomal RNA is filed under the name uncultured Ensifer sp. RNAcentral's name for it is "bacterial SSU rRNA". It matches the Rfam family "Bacterial small subunit ribosomal RNA", at positions 338 to 795 of the family's 1533-position model. The record is from RNAcentral. Lineage: Bacteria; Pseudomonadati; Pseudomonadota; Alphaproteobacteria; Hyphomicrobiales; Rhizobiaceae.